UAGCGAAGCGCGGCUAGGUAUAGCCGCGUCAAUCUCGUGUAGUGGCUAGAUACUGAUGAGCAGCUAAAA
This 69-nucleotide non-coding RNA is filed under the name Marinomonas sp. S3726. Lineage: Bacteria; Pseudomonadati; Pseudomonadota; Gammaproteobacteria; Oceanospirillales; Oceanospirillaceae. The record is from RNAcentral.